UACGUAGGGGGCAAGCGUUGUCCGGAUUUAUUGGGCGUAAAGAGCGUGUAGGCGGCCAAGCAGGUCCGCUGUGAAAACUCGAGGCUCAACCUCGAGACGUCGGUGGAAACCGUUUGGCUAGAGUCCGGAAGAGGAGAGUGGAAUUCCCGGUGUAGCGGUGAAAUGCGCAGAUAUCGGGAAGAACACCGGUGGCGAAGGCGGGUCUCUGGGCCGAUACUGACGCUGAGGAGCGAAAGCGUGGGGAGCGAACAGG
This 253-nucleotide ribosomal RNA is filed under the name uncultured bacterium. Its description in RNAcentral is "partial 16S ribosomal RNA". It matches the Rfam family "Bacterial small subunit ribosomal RNA", at positions 524 to 776 of the family's 1533-position model. The record is from RNAcentral.